This 301-nucleotide ribosomal RNA is filed under the name uncultured bacterium. Its description in RNAcentral is "partial 16S ribosomal RNA". It matches the Rfam family "Bacterial small subunit ribosomal RNA", at positions 509 to 807 of the family's 1533-position model. The record is from RNAcentral.
CAGCCGCCGCGGCAAUACAGAGGGUGCGAGCGUUAAUCGGAUUUACUGGGCGUAAAGCGUGCGUAGGCGGCUUUUUAAGUCGGAUGUGAAAUCCCUGAGCUUAACUUAGGAAUUGCAUUCGAUACUGGGAAGCUAGAGUAUGGGAGAGGAUGGUAGAAUUCCAGGUGUAGCGGUGAAAUGCGUAGAGAUCUGGAGGAAUACCGAUGGCGAAGGCAGCCAUCUGGCCUAAUACUGACGCUGAGGUACGAAAGCAUGGGGAGCAAACAGGAUUAGAUACCCCUGUAGUCCCUGUCUCUUAUAC